GCAGUAACAGCAUGCCCAGCCGCACACACAGCUCAGUUCAGAGGACUCGAUCGCUACCCGUCCACACCAACCCACACACCAUGGCCAUGUUCCAGCAAACAGAUUUACAGGUGCCUGUGACUGAGCCUGACAUCAAUAACCGUUUGGAGUCUCUGUGUCUCAGCAUGACUGAACACGCUCUGGGAGAUGGCGUUGAUCGAACUUCAACCAUCUGAGAGAAGAAAAGAGGGAGCACAGGGAAGACGGCAUGCCUGGCAGCAGGGUGAAAGGUCAUCACGAGGUCACGAGACCCUCCCCCCUCCACCUUCUCACCUACCAAUGCCAAAUAGCCAAUAGGAGAGAUGGGGCGUGGUCUACACAGUGCCAUUCACCAUUUUCUGAAAGGCUUAACACAAGCAAGUUCUGUCACCAUGACUACUUCAGCGUGUUUACAUUCGAGUUUGGGAGAAAAUCAUAUCUUCAACACUUCCACUUCCACGUGUCGACAGGCCAUUAGAGGGUGUCCGUAAUGCACGGAGACAACUCAAAGUGUUCAGGUGGUUGUCUGGGACGUCACGAAAUCCAAACCAGCCUGCAGACGAAACCAGAUCAAGACGUAGUUGCAGAUUCGAUUUCUGUGCCUCUGUGCAGAUGCAAAAAAUAUUACGUUAUAGCAUGUUUACACGUAAUACUGUCAACAAAAUCCGAAGUCAUUUUUUUCAGGUGCGAGGGUUCCGUGGACGGUGUAGAGCUUUAGGUUCCUGAAUGGCUUCGUAGUUUACAAUUGUGUUUGUAUUUACUGGUUUGUUGUUCUAGUUUUCACUUGUGCCAGUAGGAAAGCUGAUUUACAACACUACAAUGAUGCUAAAUUCAGAGCUAUGGAUGGUACUCAGAAGAAAGAGAGGGAACGUGAGAGCAGCGAUGGGAAAGGAAACAGGAAGUGAUGUCAGUGGAAGGAAUGUCGUACAUGGAUUCCGACGUAAGGAACAGUGGAGGGAGAUCAGGAGGUCAGAGAAGUGGAAUACAGGAGAAAUGCCAGCGAAUGCAUGUAGAUGGAAAGGUUGAAGAGGAGCAGGUGAACAUGGAGGUCAGAGUGAAUUUGCAAUAACGUGCAAUAGACUCUUCAUAAGCAACACGGUGUGAAUCAUAUGGCUGAGGGGGAACUGGGGGUCCUGGAAAGAGGAACUGGACUAACAAACUCUGCCCUCUCCUCCAAAUCUCCAGUAAUUCCCGUAUUCGCCGGCCUACAACUUGACGCACCUACCCACACCUCAAGUGUUUUAUGCUUUUUGGCUCAUCCAAAGAAACCAGUCAUGAUUAAACGGACAGUAAAGAGGCACUUUCGCAUCUGUUGAGUGGCGACCGACGCGGUGCAAGCUGCCUAAAAGAAAAAAUGUUGACUAUGCAGUGUGUCGGAUUCAUAAGCGACUUGGUGCCUCCAAACUAGUGCUUUUAAAGUGCAUGAAAUGCCUUAAACGGAAUGGUAGCUGGUGUUUUACAAGCAUGUUAGCAAACCAUCAUGUGGCAUCUUGCGCAUCUUAGAGGUGCAUUUAUUUGUGUGUAUUAAGCCACUCAUCACUGCCAUUUGAAAACAAUUAGCAGAUUCAAAUGAUUAUUUAUUCUUUUCUAUUAUUGAUGCAGAGGUAAUUGUAUUCAUUAGAUGUAUUAUUUAAGAUACCUUGUGUAUUAACUUUUUGCUAUGGCUGGUAACCAUAAGUACAUCUCAAAUAACAACUUGUUUUUUUUUGUUUGUUUUUUUGACGUUUUGUUUUUCCAAUUUGCAUUCUUUGUUAUGAAAAAAAAAACAUACCUGAUAGUCAAAAGACAUCAGUUUUUUGUUGUUUUAAUAUUGCUGUUUCCUUUCUUUCUUGUAUCUAUAAAUGCUUAUAUUUUGCUAACUCUGCCCGGAAUGUGUAUUUUAAAUUUUAAGGAAAAGUUUUUUUUUUUGUUUUUUUUUUUUAUUGUCACACAAUGUAAACACAGAGCCAGUUUCUCUCUCUCUCUCUCUUUUUUUUUUUUUUUGUUUUUUUUUUUUUAGAUUUCGCUGUUAUUCUGUUUUUCACCUCAGCUGUUAUGGUGUUUAAUGCCAAAUACUUAAAGGAACACUCCACUAUUUUUGAAAAUAGACUAAUUUUCCAACUCCCCUAGAGUUAAACACUUGAAUUUUACCGUUUUCGAAUCCAUUCAGCGAUCUCCAGGUCUGGCGGUAGCACUUUUAGCUUAGCUUAGCAUAAACCAUUGAAUCAGAUUAGACCGUUAGCUAAAAGUGUUACCGCCAGACCUGGAGAUCGGCUAUAUGGAUUCGAAAACGGUAAAACUCUACAGGAGUUGGAAAAUGAGCCUAUUUUCAAAAUAGUGGACUGUUAAAAAAUAGCGUAGUUCUUUACGAAGAAUGCUGCUCGCUUGUGAAUGGAUAACGAAGAAUGAUGUGUAUUCAGCUCUGGUUUGUUAAUGUUUUUCAGAUUCGUUCCCUCAUGGCGAACAAGCUUUAGUUUUUUUUUUUUUUUUUUCAAAUGCGCUUGACUGCAAACAUGCAGCAAAAUUACAAUGCUGUAACAGUGUUAACAUUUAAAUGCUGCCUUAGUAUUCCGAAAAAGAAAAAUAAAACUAGCGUUUUAGUGUUGAGGAUACCUUUUUUUGUUGCAUUGUUUUGUAAAAGGUUUUGCGCGUUAGCAUAUCAGAACUCUGAUGCUGAUCGAUUUUAUUUUAUUUUUAUUUGAUUUGUUUUUACCCCUCUAUUCUGAAGGGUCUUGCUUUACUACGCUCUUUGAUUUUUGUUUUGUUUUUUAUUUUAUUUUCAAGAGCCGAUGUCCUGUAUUGACUGCAGGCUGACGUACAUAUACAUAUAUAAAAUAUAUAUUUUAAAAGAAUCUUAUGUUUAUGAAACGAUAAAACCAAAUAAAAACUGCGAAAAAAUAAAACAAAACAGAAAAAAAAAAAGGUAAUUUAUAUUUUAGAGAUGCAUGCAAGAGGCUGGGAAGUCAUAUCUUGAAUAACAAAUGGCAGUGCCUUUUUUUUUUUUUUUUUUUUUAUUCAGACAUUUACCCUAAAUGUAAAUGAUUUUAUAUGGCUCUAAAAUAUAGAGAAAAGUAAGACGCAUUGAUGGUCGAAACUUCAAAUCAUACAAAGUCCAUACGAGCUGAUUCUGAUGCAUUUGCUCGGAAGGAGCGUGCUGGUAGUUCAUGGGAAUCUGUAUGCUUUAGGUACUUCAGUGCUGUUAUGAAGUUAUGAUUAUAUCUGUCUGUACAACACAGAGAUGUGGAUAUAUUUUUUGUUUGUGUGUGAGCAAGAAACCGUAUCGUCUUGUAAUUUUUGUACAUAUACUUUCUUAGUUGCAUCAUAACAUGAAUGGUUUCGUCGGAGGCUGUUUUUCCACUCCCUGUUACCUGUGAGGCGUCACAACUCGUGUUACGUCUCUGCUCAUCUUAGCACAGGUUUCAAACAUCUUUAAUGAAAUAAACACAACUUUAGUCAGUAAAGAGAGGGAUUCUGUAAUCUCUUUCCCUCUGUUUCGUGGCCUUGUGAGUGUGUUUUUGUACGUUAAUGGGAGAUUAUAGUACUGUUUGUGUGUUUGUGAUGUUCUGUCCACCAACUGAAUGUGUUUUUGUCUGUUUCAUUGGGUCUGUGUUAAAUGCUUGACAUCUUUGUAAUAACCACAGACAAAAAGUAUUAAAGAGUAACUUUUGAAAAGGAUGCUAUGUGUUUCUCUCUUUUCAAAGCAGCUGUUGAAUGGUAUUGAGGAAGCUUUUCUCUAUUUUAUUUAGAGUAACUAACCACAUGAGUCUGUGAGGAAUUUACUGCCUCCUCUCGGUUUCAACCAAUCAGAGAGCUCGAGACAGAUUUUUACUGCCAAGAGGCGGGGCUUUCUGUAAAGAAAAAAUGCAGAGUCACUCUGGACUCACUGUUUUAUGAACUCAUUUAUGAUGAGCCAAUCACAGUGUCACACAGAUGGGCAGUGUUGUUCAUGGAAAAUCUGGGAAAGAAUUAGGAAGUGAUUUUAUGUGAUCAUUAAAAAGUAGGAUUUAACCAUGAAAAUAUGUUGGUACAAAAAACUAAUCAGGAUUGUGCUGCCUGACUAAACUACUUUCAUGGUUGAAGAAAACAUCACGCUUAAAAGAAAAGAUUGAGGUAGAAUACUGAACUCUAAAGGAAAGAAGCCAUUUUCCACAUUUAUUUAUUAUGCAGUAAUUUCACAAUAUGUACAUUUUUAAAUUGUUAAACAAACAUUUUAACUAGUGCCUUAUAAUAAAGAGAAUGAGAUUUCUUUAACAUUACAAUAAUGUGAGUUUGUGAUGGUAAUGUCCUUCAACUGUCUUGUUUUUCUUGUGAAUUUAGGGUAAAAUAUGACAUUUGUGUGAUCCACCCUUCAAUGUUUCUUGUCUUUUGCUUACCAACUCCCCUCAACAAAAAACAUUUAAAAAACUUUCAAAAUAACUAAAAAGAACAGUCUAUAUAUUUUACACAAGCUUUUUUAUUUUAAGCUGAAAAUGAUGAUGAACAUCAACAGUAAAGUAUUUGAAAGGCUCUUUGAGUCUUUUGUUUAAAGAAGGCCACAUGAAUAACACUCAGUUCUCAAUAUCAAGGCUCAUUUUCUGAAUGAAUCCACUGAUAUGAUAUGAUUGUGACACUGAACAGCUCAGAUACUGUCUGGCUCAGAGUUUCAUCUGAACUCAUGAAUACAGAACAUCACUCAAACAAUGUUUC
Cyprinus carpio (common carp) is the source of this 4683-nucleotide long non-coding RNA. RefSeq lists it as uncharacterized. The record is from RefSeq and is a predicted model, not a curated record. The transcript has 4 exons. Lineage: Eukaryota; Metazoa; Chordata; Actinopteri; Cypriniformes; Cyprinidae.